GUUUGAAUUAUCCCAGCUCACUUGGUAGAGCAUGAGAUUCUUAAUCUCUGGGUCGUGGGUUCGAGUCUCGCUUUGGGCA
Molecule: non-coding RNA, 79 nt
Organism: Podarcis lilfordi (Lilford's wall lizard)
Lineage: Eukaryota; Metazoa; Chordata; Lepidosauria; Squamata; Lacertidae
Source: the annotation of a GenBank genome assembly